This 334-nucleotide unclassified non-coding RNA is filed under the name soil metagenome. RNAcentral's name for it is "partial contains 5.8S ribosomal RNA, internal transcribed spacer 2, and large subunit ribosomal RNA". The stretch from base 1 to 120 matches the Rfam family "5.8S ribosomal RNA", at positions 35 to 154 of the family's 154-position model. The record is from RNAcentral.
GAUGAAGAACGUAGCGAAAUGCGAUAAGUAAUGUGAAUUGCAGAAUUCAGUGAAUCAUCGAAUCUUUGAACGCACAUUGCGCCCGCCAGUAUUCUGGCGGGCAUGCCUGUUCGAGCGUCAUUUCAACCAUCAAGCCCUGCUUGCGUUGGGGUCCUGCGGCUGCCCGCAGGCCCUGAAAACCAGUGGCGGGCUCGCUAGUCACACCGAGCGCAGUAAUACAUCUCGCUUUGGGCGUCCGGCGGGUUCUUGCCGUUAAACACCCCCUUUUUACCAAGGUUGACCUCGGAUCAGGUAGGAAUACCCGCUGAACUUAAGCAUAUCAAUAAGCGGAGGA